This 253-nucleotide ribosomal RNA is filed under the name uncultured bacterium. Its description in RNAcentral is "partial 16S ribosomal RNA". It matches the Rfam family "Bacterial small subunit ribosomal RNA", at positions 524 to 776 of the family's 1533-position model. The record is from RNAcentral.
UACAGAGGUCCCGAGCGUUGUUCGGAUUCACUGGGCGUAAAGGGUGCGUAGGCUGCGGGGCAAGUCGGGUGUGAAAUCUCAGAGCUCAACUCUGAAACUGCACUCGAUACUGCUUUGCUCGAGGACUGGAGAGGAGAUUGGAAUUCACGGUGUAGCAGUGAAAUGCGUAGAUAUCGUGAGGAAGACCAGUGGCGAAGGCGGAUCUCUGGACAGUUCCUGACGCUGAGGCGCGAAGGCCAGGGGAGCAAACGGG